Lolium perenne is the source of this 2525-nucleotide non-coding RNA. The record is from RefSeq and is a predicted model, not a curated record. Lineage: Eukaryota; Viridiplantae; Streptophyta; Magnoliopsida; Poales; Poaceae.
CGAACAAUCUUGGCCGGCGCUGCCGCUCCUCGCCCCGCCAGCCACUUCCCCUCCGACGAUCCUCCGUCUUCCCCAGCCCCGGCCCCUCCUCCUCCCCUACGCCCCUAGCUCCACCCGUCCUCACCUCCCGCUUCAGAUCGACGCCGCCGCAAGAGAGAGGGAGCCGGGGCCCCCACGAACAAUCUUGGCGCGGCGGGCUUGCUCGCCGGCGCGUGCGUGCAGCCUCAGCACGACGCGCGGCGCUCCGUCGAGCUUGCCCGACCGCGUCGCUCACGUACCAGAGGGCGGCUGCUGCACUCCGCCGAUGGGCCGCUGGCCACCAGGACGAGACGGUGGUGACGCGCGUCUUCUUCUUCUUCUUCUUCUCGGGGUCGCCCUACAUCAGGUACACGGCGCCGGUCGCACCCUCCUCCGUGGCAGCGGGCCGGAGCAGCGCCCCGGCUCCUUACUCGCAGGCUCCUCCGACGCCAUCGACGACUGGCACGUCAAGUACGUCUCAUGGUUAUUGGACUUAAUUUUGACAUGUCCGCGUCUCCUAGCUGCUAAUGCCUACAUCCUGCUGCCCAUUCCUUCUUCGACUGGGAUCUCUGCUACAGCAACGUUUCCACCAUCGGCAUGCCACAGAAGGUCUAUGUUUCUGUCCCAAGUACUCCAUUGUUUUUCCUGGGCUGCACUGUGUAUGUAUAUAUGCUUGCGUAGAAAUGUGGUUUGAUUUUGGUCACUACCUUGCUGGUGAUGUUGAUAGGCUCAUUACACGUAUUUGACUUCAUCAAUGUCAACCUGAAACUGGUUAUUUAUUUGAUGUUGGCAAAGGUUGGACUUUUAGUUCUUGAGAGUUUUGAUAUAGCUGUAAUGUUCUGCUUGAUUAUUUGCAUCCUGCCUUUUUUUUUUUUUUGCUGAUGCUAGUGAUGUCCUGGCAUUAUUUGUUGCUUUUGCUGAUGCAAGCUUGCUGUUGGAUUAAAAUUUCGUAUCUGAAAGGUUGGACAUGCAUUGAUCUGGGUAGGAUUGUUUCUGAAUGUUGCUGUUUGGUCGGAUUGAAUUGGGUACCUCCCCCAUCGAUCCGUGUACUGUUUGCUUACGGACUAGCCUGGUCCGUUUGCUAAUUUGGAUAGGUAGCAAAUCUGAUGCAUAUUUUUGUUUGGAAGCAUGAGAUUGUUGAUGUAGUUGAUCUCUGUUUCCUGAAUGAUUUGACCAUUUGCUUGAUCAGUUAAGCAUCAAAGCUUGACCAUCACAUGUAAAAGGAUUUUACUUUGGAUAGUCGCUGAUUUGAAGAAACUUUGUUGCUGUUGUUAUUGUUAUCUGGUAGCACUCUCUUGCAAUUGCUUGGAUUGGUAUUUUCGUAGUAGGCUGUAGCCUUAUCUUCUGGUGUUUUAAUUUUGCUGACCAUUAUGUUUGUUCUUGUUUGAGGAUAAUAAGGAGCACUGAAUGACAGUGUUGGCCUUCUUCUUCGACUCCAUGUGCUUGGUUGAGUUUCCUCUCCUCUGUUGAAUGCUUGGUCAUCAAGUUGAUGCCCUGUGGUACUUUGCUGGUACCGGAAUGUGCAGUUGGUGCAGUUGAUCUGGUGCUAUGAUUUAUUAUUCUGCUUAGUCAGUUAUGGUCUCUGUGACAUGAAUGUCCGAAAACAGUAAUGGUCAUGUAAAUUUUUUGAACAUGUUUGCUAAUUAACCUAUAUUAACUAAUUAGUUAGCUUAUCGUGUACUACCUCGGGUCAGAAUUAAUCGACGCGGUUCUUGCACUAAAGUAGUUGUAUGAAGUGUACUACUCCGCGUCAAUUAAUACCGACCGGAGGGAGUACUUUAGUUUCUUUAAAUAACCCGCUGUUCUCCUGUGUAAAAAAUACCUGGAAAUGAAGCAAAUAAUAAGCGUUUGACAAUCGUGUUUGUCUGUUGCUGAUGCUUUCUUUCUUUGGUCUACAUAUUCUGCACAGUAAUAUUGUGCAGGGGCAUUGAGGAGGAGCAGAUGAUAAGCUAGCUGGAAGCUGCAAGCUGUUAUUCCCCGUCAAAACUUUGAGAAACAAUACAUGCAUGUGUUUUGUGGUUGAGAGCAACACACAGUUUUUGUUGUUUGUGUCGUAAGAGGGUUGAAUUCUUUUUGUGGCCUUGCUGUUGAUGCAUGUCGAAAGAUGGAACCAUUGCCUAGUUCUGCCAGUUGGAAGUGUUUAUAGCCUUAUUAUUAUUAUUAUAUUAUUAUUAUUACCAUUAUGAAUUCCUUGUUGUUUUAGCUUAAUAUAAGAGAGAAGGAAAUAUAUGCAUGUGUUGCUUAGGUCACGCUGGAAUUAACCGUGCCUCUUGUGUGUGUCAGGAGCAGGUAAAGAGAGAAGACUUGAUUGCUCGAUCUCUGCAAGUGAUGCGCUUGGCCCUGUCUGCUGAACUCGCUGCGCCCCUUGUUACAGUCAGGCGUCGGGAGCCUUCAAUUUGGCGGCUGGGUGCAACAUUCGAGAGGGUUUUCGUUUUGUUGUAAUCGUGACUUUAUGAUAUAUAUAUAUCUGUAGACUUUUCCGGGCCAGCAGGCCAGGUUGUGAUUUA